Molecule: long non-coding RNA, 5497 nt
Organism: Bombus terrestris (buff-tailed bumblebee)
Lineage: Eukaryota; Metazoa; Arthropoda; Insecta; Hymenoptera; Apidae
Exons: 2
Source: RefSeq, a predicted model, not a curated record
UAUGCAUGUUGCGGCACGUGGACAAAAACCUAUUACCCUUGACUUUCACCAGUGUAUCUUCUCUGGCGGAACCAGAGGCGACUGCACUUGCCACUUGUCAUAGCAUGUGUGCACAUAUCUCCUGAAUCUGAUGCACCUGUAGAUCGGCCGUUUGUCGUUUCAUCAUUUCAUUUCAGUCGUUUGCGCGUAACGAAAGAUAAUUGCGAAACGGCGCGGCAAGCCGAUCUCAUCCGAGCUCGGUCGAAGGUUACCGAGCGUCGUGGCUACAUAAAUACAGCGAGUGACGCUUGGCGACCAUUCGAGGAGCGACCGAGGUUAAAGUAAUUUCAGUCCAGUGCAGCCGUUCAGCUAGUUUUCACUGUGAAACGUACAUUCGAAUUCUAAAAAGUGAUACGCAGCGCGUCAAUCACGCGACCGAGAAAACAUUUUCUUUUGGCAAAACCGAUUAAAGAAGAACGCGUAUCGGAAGAGAUUCGUUUCGUGUUUGAGAGUAAGCCCAAAGAGAAAUCAAACAUGUACACCAACCCGUUUAACCGCAAACACAGUACUAUACGACAGAUGUUGGACAAGAUACUCGAUCCGACGAAAAGAUCCAUCAGAAGAUCGGAAAGUGUGUCGAGUUCCGACAGUGGCAGUUCCAAGGGUAGCAAUAGUUCCCUGACCAGAUGCACGCAUAGCCACAGGGGGGUUUUACACUGGGGCAGGAAGUGAACUACCGAGGAAGAUAACCAGUGAAAUGCUGUGAUUCUCUUCUUUCUCUCCGUUUUUGCCUUUUUGUUUCAUCCUCUUUGCGUAUCCUCGCGAGAAAGCAAGCCGAUAAGAGAAGUCAUUAACAGUGCAAGAGAUUUUGAUCGAGUUUGCUGGCAGUAUCAGCAAAGUAUGCCGUGGAAAAUACUAUUGCACGGCAUAAAAGGCCGACUUGCUACGACCCCGUCGCCGCGGAGGAGACGCGUUUUGAAUCAACGCGGGAACUUGCGACGCGACUUGAUGAAAAUAAGAAGCCAUAUAUCCACCGGCGAGACCAGGUGUUAUUACACCGCGUUGCGCCGCGCCGCGCCGCGCCGUCGCGUCGUGAAGAUCGAUCGUGGCUAUUUGCUCGGAUCGAUGAUCAAAGGAUAUCGUACGAGUCACGGUUACUCGAAUGUACGGUAAAUAUCACAACUGCGAUAUAAACGUCAUUUUUGUUUAGAAGAAAUCUAAAUAAUAUUCACUACGAUCAAAAUAUAUGGAGUUGAUCACUGAAUAUUGUCAAAUCCAUUCAAAUACUACCGAAUAUCGUAUCGAAAUACAUAUAACAACCAUAUAUCGAACUGUAAAUUCAGCUUGGAUAUACAUAUUACGCACGCAUACAAGCGUUAUAUUUAUUGCAUAUUACAUUAUUUAUUUUGUAGACGAAAUUUAAUUAUACAUAUACACGUCUAUAGCAUUGUUAAGACCACCAUGUGCCAUAAUCGUUAAAAUUUGCAAACGCUUUUCAGUUGGCCAUUAGUUUUAUGUUACUAGUCAAAAGUCAGUAUUAGUCGCUGGAUCUGUACAUGAAAGAUACGUACAUGUUACAUGAAUCUGUAAAUCGACGAUAGUAUGUUACUUCUAAUUUAUUUGUUUCGCAUGAUAUUCGAACCAAAUAAAAGAUAUUUAUCGAAAAAUUAGUUGUUUCGUCCUUCCUCAACUCUUUUCUCAUUCUUUUGCAUAAGAUAACAUCCCUCUCAUUCUUCUACAUUUUAAUAUAAAUUUUUUUCACACGAUAUAUGUACUCAUACUACAGUCAAUAAUUGUAUGUUAAACAGUUAAAGAAACAUUUUCCAUCUAUAAAUGUAAUAUUUUACCCAUUACUAUAUUACAAGUUAAACUAUUUGAGAAAGCAUUUUCUCUUCUUCAAACUUUCGCAAAUUACAUACUAUUCGAAACGUAUGAAGACCAUAGGAAAAAUCGUGAUAACUACAUAUAUAUUUGUUAAUUUCUUGAUUGUAAUGUCACUUUGUAGCUAUACAAAGAAAUUAAAAAAAUAUAUUUUUUUUAAAUAAACGAUAUUUUAAUAUUUUCUUUUACGUAUUCUGGUAACAAAAUUACUUGACAACGUAUUGAAAUUUCAAAACUGCUACCCUAUAACAUAUAAAAGAUGGAAAAUGUACCUAUGUAUCAUCGUCCUCUAUUCCCAUAUACACUGGCGUUGAUAAGCUGAACGAUUUGAUUGACUUGCAGUAGCAGUAAGUAAAUUUUACCAAAUUUGGUAAGUAUACGAAUCAAAGAGGAAUUAAUAACAAAGAGUUACUAUCUUUUUAUGAAAUUACCAGACUAUAAUAUUGAUUUAUAUAUUAAAAAAUAUAUCAAUAUAUAUUUUACUAUUUACUAUAUAGGUAUUUAUAUAGAAAACUAUGGAUAAAUUAACUUUUAUAAGACAAUAUCCAAUAAUAAAAUUGGUAUGUAUGUAUCUAUGUAUUCAUCAAACUGUAAUCAUCAAACUUUAUAUCAUAGAACUACAUUCUGUUACUUAACAAACUCUUUAUUUUGAAAUCCUUUAAUUUUUGACACGGAAGACAGAUUAAAAGGGUCCCCCAUACUGUUUCUGUUUCCACUGUGAUGAGUGGAAAGACGUAAGGCAACAAUUUGGUACAUAUUCCUUUUCCUUGUCAUUCAUACGAUAAAUUUUGUACAAUAAAAGUUGAAAUAGCCACUACUAAACUAAUAGUUUCUUUUCUAUAAAAAAAAUCUCGCGCUGUAUCGAUUAAUGUAUUAAAAGAUACAUGAUUCCUAUUAAAAGAGCAAGGUUUAUCUUCACAUAACCAACGCCCACAUACAGAAUAACUAACAUCACAAUAUGCCUGCCUUCAAUUCAUUCAGCUUCUAUAUGAAACAUUUUUCGCUGCGGGUAAUAAUAGUAACGUAAACCAAUAUCUCAAUAUCAGGCGAGUCACUUGGUAUGUACGCGCGCGCGUGUGUCUACGUCAUAUUGUAUAUGUACAUAUAAAUUGCGUGAAUGUAAUAGUCAAAACUGUAAUAGUCAAAAGUAGUCUAAUAGUCACUUAUUAUUAAUAAAAAUCUUAUGGUCAGAUACAUCUUUUGAUCAUAUUGAAUUAUACCGUUGAUUGUAAAUUUCCAAGGAAAAUUCAGCUGAAUGUAACAAAUAUGCUCGGUUAAAUGAUUUUAUGUGAAGAGGCGUAUACGUUGAGUCAAUUAAACAGCUAUAGUUAUAAGCUAGUGCUCUGGAAACGUACGUAAUAAUAAUAAUUCAAUGCUGAAAUAUUUACAUAUUACGUUAUUGGCUUAAUUGGAAUUCAAACCGUUCCAGACGAUUGAGAGACGUUAGUGAGGUCAAUAAGAUUUAUUGUCAAUAGUUACCUACAAGUGUGCUUUUGCAAUAGCAAGCAAUUUUUAUUCGAAUGAUAAUUAGAUAAUUGUCAACUGCAGUGUUGUAAAUUCUCUUGUUGUUUUUAUCAUAGAUUAUCAUGGAUUACAGUUACUUACAUCAGUCUUACUACAUAAAAUAUUAUUUCGAAGUAAAAUAUUAUCUUUCUCGACUUUGUAAAUAUGCGUGUAUGGUAGAAUAAAUAUCACUGUGUUUCUCUUUAAUUUAAAUGUGAUAUGUGAAUGGGAUUUGAUAAUAUAACGAUGAAAAUGGCGAUUUUGUUAUGGUAUACAGGUAGCAAUUAUUUCUGCGGUCAUCUAUUAAUCAUCAAUACAUCUUUUAAUAAAUUUUAAUAAACAUUUCUCCUCCAGGCCUCCAAACUGACCUCCUUCCCUAUCGUUAAUCAUUUUGUCAACGAUGAUAAUACAAGAUAAUGAGAAAGGAAGAAUAAUUAUAAGUAGAUCGUGCAUAUUUAUGCAAUUACACAUUUUUAGAGGCUUAAUUAGAGAAAUGAAUUUUAAACAGAAAUUCACUGCUAAUCGUCUUGUUUAAGUUUUUGCAGAUAUCUCGGAAACUCAGACGGAUUGAAUGGCGGUAACAUGCAUAGGGAAAAGUUGUCCAGAAUGGACGACCUUCACAAUAUAUUUCAAGAUCAUCAACAAUCGGUGAGGUGCAGCUGAUUCCGAAUAAUUGACGAAUAAACUUACCAUGUAUUUAGUGAAAAGAAGUACGUUCAAUCGAAGGUUAGUGAUUUUUUAUUUUCAUGGGCUUUGUCUGAAGGCUAUGUAUUGGGAAUAACAGAUAAUAAUUUUAAAAACAAGAUUGAUGAUUCUUUUCCCAUACUGUUCAACAAUAUUUCAGAGAAUUACUUUUACUCAUAUAUAGUUUUAAAUUUACAUAUUAUAUCCUAUUAUAAGUAUUAUAGGAUAUUCGAAUUUUGAUUUGAAACUGAUAAAUUAUUAUUUUCGCAUGGGAAAGUAUCUUUCAUCACGAACUACUUUACAAACGUAGCUAAAAAUUAAAUAAUUGCACAAAAAAUAGAAAUCUGUUUCAGUUAUCUGUGCGAUUCUCUCUCUCUCUCUCUCUCUCUCUCUCUCUCAUCAAUAUGUUCACAGGUAACCCCUUUAUAACACAAAAAUUUAGUUGAAAAUAUCAUGUUGUAUCAAAGGAACGUUGUGCCCUUAGAAUACUGUUGUACGGGAAGAGAAGGUGAAGUUGUAGAAAAUCUACUUCCUCUCCGAUUUCGUUAGAUGUAUCAAUCAAUAUCAAUGUCCAGAAUGUAUGAAAAAUAAAUGUGACGAUUAUCACAGCGAGAUUGUACACUGUCUCUGGCUCGGUAGAGAUUUGUUCCAAAAAAUUGCAGCAAAUUAUGUAUUGGCAUGUUGGUCGGCUUUUGAGGUCAUCGUGGCCAAAAUCGACACACACCGCAUCGUUAUACUGUCACAUUUGUUUGGCACCGCCAAGCAAGAAUGGCAACCAAGGUGGUAUUGUCGCCUGGCAAAUGCCGACGCAAUGGCGACGCAGCUUAACGGAGAUGUCAACUCCGUACUAGUGUGUAUACGAUUAAUAUCGUGUAUGACGCACAAAAAUAUCUUAAUUUUGAGUAAUUAACGCAUAUCGCGCACAUACACUAAUAACAUACUAUAUAGUUACUAUGUAGUUAUAUGUACUCUACUAUGUAGUAACAUAUAGAAAACUUUUGUAUAUACUAUAUGCGUUGGAUACAAUAUCUUGAAAUGUUAUUUGUGCCACAAUGAGACACGGUUUGACAGAUUUAUAUUGGUAUUUAUGAACAAUAUUCAACAUCAAAAUGCAUAUAAAAGAUGCGUGAUAUUUACUGUAAACAUAUACAUGUAUUUAGUAGAGAAUUAAUAUACAGUAUGACUAGCCAUUUUUGAUUAUUUCUUUUAUUAUUUAAUAUAUAUUUUAAAUUACGUUUAACUUGCUUUGUAUUACUUAAAUAUAUAUUUCAAUAAACGAUACCAUUUAUUGCACAUAUUAAAAAGAAUUAUAGAAAUAUAGAAUACAAUUUCACAAAAGUAUACAAAAGUGGAAAUCGUAGAGAAGUUAGAUUUAACAUUAUACGUAUCAGUAUCUCGCAGAUCUACAAUCCUUUUCUGGCAUUAUAAAUAAAUUAGAAGAUUUUGUAAA